UACGUACCGUACGAACGUUAUUCGGAAUUACUGGGCUUAAAGGGUUUGUAGGCGGCCUUGUAAGUCAGGUGUGAAAUCCCUCGGCUCAACCGAGGAACGGCGCUUGAUACUGCAAGGCUUGAGGGAGACAGGGGUAAGCGGAACUGAUGGUGGAGCGGUGAAAUGCGUUGAUAUCAUCAGGAACACCGGUGGCGAAGGCGGCUUGCUGGGCCAGUUCUGACGCUGAGGAGCGAAAGCGUGGGGAGCGAACAGG
This 253-nucleotide ribosomal RNA is filed under the name uncultured bacterium. RNAcentral describes it as "partial 16S ribosomal RNA". It matches the Rfam family "Bacterial small subunit ribosomal RNA", at positions 524 to 776 of the family's 1533-position model. The record is from RNAcentral.